Molecule: ribosomal RNA, 439 nt
Filed under: uncultured bacterium
Lineage: Bacteria
Description: bacterial SSU rRNA
Rfam family: Bacterial small subunit ribosomal RNA
Source: RNAcentral
CCUACGGGACGCACCAGUGGGGAAUAUUGGACAAUGGGCGAAGGCCUGAUCCAGCAAUGCCGCGUGUGUGAAGAAGGUCUUCGGAUUAUAAAGCACUUUCGACGGGGACGAUGAUGACGGUACCCGUAGAAGAAGCCCCGGCUAACUUCGUGCCAGCAGCCGCGGUAAUACGAAGGGGGCUAGCGUUGCUCGGAAUGACUGGGCGUAAAGGGCGCGUAGGCGGUUUAUGCAGUCAGAUGUGAAAUCCCCGGGCUUAACCUGGGAACUGCAUUUGAGACGCAUAGACUAGAGGUCGAGAGAGGGUUGUGAAUUCUCAGUGUAGAGGUGAAAUUCGUAGAUAUUGGGAAGAACACCGGUGGCGGAGGCGGCAACCUGGCUCGAUACUGGCGCUGAGGCGCGAAAGCGUGGGGAGCAAACAGGAUUAGAUACCCUGGUAGUC